CGCGUAGGCGGCCGUUUAAGUCUGGAGUGAAAGUCCUGCUUUCAAGGUGGGAAUUGCUUUGGAUACUGGACGGCUUGAGUGCAGGAGAGGUAAGUGGAAUUCCCAGUGUAGCGGUGAAAUGCGUAGAGAUUGGGAGGAACACCAGUGGCGAAGGCGACUUACUGGACUGUAACUGACGCUGAGGCGCGAAAGUGUGGGGAGCAAACA
Molecule: ribosomal RNA, 207 nt
Filed under: uncultured bacterium
Lineage: Bacteria
Description: partial 16S ribosomal RNA
Rfam family: Bacterial small subunit ribosomal RNA
Source: RNAcentral